This 569-nucleotide unclassified non-coding RNA is filed under the name Hevea brasiliensis (rubber tree). The record is from RNAcentral. Lineage: Eukaryota; Viridiplantae; Streptophyta; Magnoliopsida; Malpighiales; Euphorbiaceae.
GUUAAUAACAAAUCUUAUUCUAUUGUACCAUAGAAGAUGAAUUUAUUGGUUGAGGUUCUGAAUUGUGAAAAAGUAGAAACAAUUGCUGGAAAUAGAAAUUAUUGAUGGAGAGAGAGCAAGAGCGAAGAAGGGGAUGGGGUUUAACUGAGUGUGCACUGAUUGGGCACGAGUGCACAACUAGAAAGAUUUUUCUUAGUUACUAUUGUUAAUUGCUUUCCCUAUAAUGGGAGUAGAUCUAGUUGAUCUAUUUUGCAUGUUGUAGAAGGGAAUCAAGUGAACAAUGUGAACUCCUAAAUGGUUAACAAGGUGAGCUGGUUGGUGAAGUUUACAAGGUUAAAUAAGCUUGAAGUUUGAUUCUUUUCUAAUUCAAUGGAGUUGGUUUCUUGUGGUUUAUUGUUUAUUUAGUUUUCACAAGUCCACCUUGAAUAAUGAUAGCAUAUUGCAUUUUAAUGGUGUUAUUGUAUAGCAAACAUUUUAAUCAAUGCCUAUAAUUGAAACGGAUAUUGUAUUUAGAUUUUAUUGCAAUUGUAUGAUGUUUGAUCUUUAAAAUUUUUCUUUGCAGGUCAGUG